Molecule: transfer RNA, 72 nt
Filed under: Marmota monax (woodchuck)
Lineage: Eukaryota; Metazoa; Chordata; Mammalia; Rodentia; Sciuridae
Rfam family: tRNA
About the family: Transfer RNA (tRNA) molecules are approximately 80 nucleotides in length. Their secondary structure includes four short double-helical elements and three loops (D, anti-codon, and T loops).
Source: Rfam by way of RNAcentral
UGCGUUGUGGCUCAGUGGUAGAGCGCUCACCUAGCACAUGUGAGGCCCUGGGUUUGAUCCUCAGCACCACAU